GGUUCUCAGUCCCACCAGUAACAAGCUUGUAUCCCUUGCUCAUCAGGUAGUUUCCAAGGGCAACUGCAUUGGCCUUGACUUGCUUAGCAUAGGCCUUGAACCCGGGAACCAUGGCCUGCUUCAAGGCAACAGCUAGGGCAGCAAUCUGGUGAUUGUGGGGGCCACCUUGGAGGGAGGGGAAAACAGCAAAAUUGACCUUGUCCUCAAAAUCAUAAACUGCAUCUUCCGGCUGGCCCUUCUUGGGUGGUUUAGGACCCUUACGGUAGAAGAUCAUACCAGCCCUUGGGCCCCUCAGGCUCUUGUGGGUUGUAGUUGUGACUAUGUCACAAUACUCAAAGGGGUUUGCGGCUUCCUACACCCAAAUAGUAAAUUAGACUAACACUAUCCAGAUCAAGAUUGAGUAAAUGGAAGCAGUGGUAUUCUGAUCCAGUCCUGCACUUUUGCAUAUCAAUGAUAAUAUCACAAAGAAACCCAAUAUUAAUGCUCCUUUUUAUUUCCCCAUGCUUCAAAUUUGAGAUUGAAACCAAGAAAUGCCUUUUAGACUCGAAAACCAAAAAAAUAAAAAGCCUCAAUUACAAUGAAUGGAGAUGAAACAAUUACCAUAAUUAUUUAUAAAAUGAUAAAAGCAGGCUCAUAAAGACUUAUAUUCCAUUCCCUCUUCUCUUCCCUACAGAUCUCAAUUGCCCACAUGACCAGAACCAGAACAGGACACUGCUCUGGCCACCAAAUUCAUCAACCAAAAAAAAAGGGAUCUACCUAUCAAUUCGUUCAAAAGGAUCUAUAUAUUAAACAUGCACAAGAUAAUAAAAUAGUUAAAUGAUCUCCACAUCACACCAAAUGCUUAAAACCCAAUGCAAAUCUCCACAACCAUUGCAACAAAAAACAGUCGUAGCGUCAGAAACAAGGAACAAAAGAAAAAGAAAAAGAAAAAAAGAAAAAGAUCAUGGAAAUUAAUAAUAGAUCCAAAAACUUAAAAAUUAGGCUGAAUUAUAAGAACUUCAGAUCCAACAAUUGAAUAUAUAAAAAUGAAAUAUUGAAUAUAAACAAGGAUGACAAGAAACAAGAGGAACGGACCUGAGCAGCAACAAGGCCACUAAUGUGGGCCAUGUCACAAAGCAACAAAGCGCCACACUUAUCGGCAAUAGAGCGGAACCUGGCGUAAUCCCAGUCCCUGGGGUAGGCGCUGCCACCGCAAAUGAUUAACUUAGGCCUGAAAUCCAAGGCCUUCUCCUCCAAGCGAUCGUAAUCAAUGUAGCCAGUGGUGGAGCUGACCUUAUAAGGCAAACUCUCAAAGUAAAUGGAAGUGGCCGAGAUCUUCUUUCCGCUGGAGGUGUAGUAGCCGUGGGUGAGGUGGCCACCGGAAGGGAGGUCCAAACCCAUGAUGCGGUCGUGGGGGUUGAGAAUGGCGGUGUAGGCGGCGAAAUUGGCGGGGGAGCCGGAGUAGGGCUGAACAUUGACGCCCCACUUGGAGGGGUCGCAGUGGAAGGCCUGCAGGGCACGUGACCUGCAGAGGUUCUCGAUCUCGUCGAUGAACUCAUUUCCACCAUAGUAGCGGUUGCCAGGCAUGCCCUCGGAGUACUUGUUGGUGAGGGCGCUGCCCAG
RNAcentral lists this long non-coding RNA (1602 nucleotides) under Vitis vinifera (wine grape). RNAcentral describes it as "long non-coding RNA (VVIN_LNC001474)". Lineage: Eukaryota; Viridiplantae; Streptophyta; Magnoliopsida; Vitales; Vitaceae. The record is from RNAcentral.